GAUGAACGCUGGCGGUAUGCUUAACACAUGCAAGUCGAACGGACUCUUCGGAGUUAGUGGCGGACGGGUGAGUAACGCGUGAGAAUCUGGCUUUGGGUUCGGGACAACCACUGGAAACGGUGGCUAAUACCGGAUGUGCCGAGAGGUAAAAGAGAAAUUGCCUGAAGAUGAGCUCGCGUCUGAUUAGCUAGUUGGUGAGGUAAAGGCUCACCAAGGCAGCGAUCAGUAGCUGGUCUUAGAGGAUGACCAGCCACACUGGGACUGAGACACGGCCCAGACGCCUACGGGAGGCAGCAGUGGUGAAUUUUCCGCAAUGGGCGAAAGCCUGACGGAGCAAUACCGCGUGGGGGAAGAAGGCUCUUGGGUUGUAAACCUCUUUUCUUAGGGAAGAACAAAAUGACGGUACCUAAGGAAUCAGCAUCGGCUAACUCCGUG
This 435-nucleotide ribosomal RNA is filed under the name uncultured bacterium. RNAcentral's name for it is "partial 16S ribosomal RNA". It matches the Rfam family "Bacterial small subunit ribosomal RNA", at positions 28 to 507 of the family's 1533-position model. The record is from RNAcentral.